RNAcentral lists this ribosomal RNA (1035 nucleotides) under Triticum aestivum (bread wheat). RNAcentral describes it as "partial small subunit ribosomal RNA". Lineage: Eukaryota; Viridiplantae; Streptophyta; Magnoliopsida; Poales; Poaceae. The record is from RNAcentral.
AUGGAGUCGGAGGGGCAGGACAGGCCGCUGGGCGAGGGGGAAGCAAACGCCGGCGGGGUGGCUGAGCCGGGGGCGAUGGCGAUGGUGCCGGUGCCGGUACGCGGGGGGUACAUGGUGGUGCCCAAGCCGGAGCCGGUGGAGCUCUUCGGGGCCGGCGGGGGCGGGAUGGUGGUGCGCAAGCCGCCGCCGAGGAACCGGGACCGGCACACCAAGGUCGAGGGCCGCGGCCGCCGGAUCCGCAUGCCGGCCGCCUGCGCCGCCAGGAUCUUCCAGCUCACCCGCGAGCUAGGGCACAAGUCGGACGGCGAGACCGUGCGCUGGCUGCUGCAGCAGUCCGAGCCGGCCAUCGUCGCCGCCACCGGCACCGGCACCGUGCCCGCCAUCGCCACCACCGUCGACGGCGUGCUCCGGAUCCCCACCCAGUCCGCCUCCUCCGCCGUCGUCGACGACGAGGCCUCCGCCAAGCGCCGCCGCAAGCUGCAGCCCACGCGCGCCGCCGGACCGCUCGCCACCGUGCCGCCCACCGCCGCCUACUACUCCGUCCUCGCCGACCCUCUCCUGCAGGGCGGCGCCGGGAGCGCGGCCAUUUCCGUCGCCAGCGGCCUCGCUCCAAUCGGCGGUCAGCAGGGCCUCGUCCCCGUCUUCGCCGUCCCGUCCGCCGCUGGGGCCGCCGGAGCCAACCACAUGAUCCCGCAGGCCACCGCCGUGUGGAUGGUCCCGCAGCCGGCCGGCGCCCCCAACCAGCCCACCCAGUACUGGGCCUUCCAGUCCGCGCCACAGCUCAUCAACCUCGCCGGCGCGCAGACCAUGCCGGCUGGAGCUGUGUUCCCCAACGUUGCCGCCGACUACCAUCAACAGCAGCAGUCUGCUUCUACCGUGGUCCAGAACACCAACUCGGACCACCACCAGCAGCAGUUCAGCCAUCAUCUCACCGGCGCCGAGUCGCACGAGCAGCAGCGCCGCGACCACCACCCGGAGGAGGACGACGCCGAUGAUGACGACGAGCCAGUCUCCGACUCCAGCCCAGAAGACUAA